Molecule: long non-coding RNA, 594 nt
Organism: Siniperca chuatsi (mandarin fish)
Lineage: Eukaryota; Metazoa; Chordata; Actinopteri; Centrarchiformes; Sinipercidae
Exons: 3
Source: RefSeq, a predicted model, not a curated record
GCAGAUGGCAUCUUGGAAUUUGCUUCAACAUAGGAAUUAAGAAAAACAGUCUUGAUGAUCAUGGUUUUCUUGAUAUCCAAUGGGGUUUCGAAAGGAUUUCACAAGCCCACAAGGGAGGACCUGAAGCGAGAGACAAGCAUGAGGACGGUGCAGCUUGAGAGGAGUAGUUCAUAUGUGGGCUAUAUGAGGAGGGGGGAUGAGGGGAGAAGACGGGUGAAUUAGUGGGGUGAGGAAGACGGGUGACUCACAGGCUUCCAGUAAGAGGUCUGACUCAGCUACUGGAAGCCCCCUGACCCUGCCUGGAGACAAUAUGUGGCCAGUAAACUGUGUUUUUUAUAUUCCUGUAGAAAAGAGAGAUCUUAAAGGUCUAAAAUAUGGAAACAUGGAAAAAAAGAGAUUGCAGCAAGGGAAUAUGUAUGCUAACCAACAGCUGUCACUACGGUUGCUUUUUCUGGGGUUAGGGGUGAAAAUGUGUGUAGGUCCUUAUAAACUGUAGAGAUUACAAAUAAUGCACAAUAAUCAGUUUUUCGUCACUGCCGAGACAACAAAGAAAAAUAUCCUCAGACUUUACACUUUUGUCAGGCCUCAAAUCAG